GGCUCUAUGGCGUAAUGGUUACGCACAUUUCGUAUACAAAGGCGGUGCAUAGGCUCUCGUGUGGCUCACUGGGCCUCCGGUUCGAUUCCGGACGGGGUCG
Molecule: non-coding RNA, 100 nt
Organism: Mycena leptocephala
Lineage: Eukaryota; Fungi; Basidiomycota; Agaricomycetes; Agaricales; Mycenaceae
Source: the annotation of a GenBank genome assembly